This 228-nucleotide ribosomal RNA is filed under the name uncultured bacterium. Its description in RNAcentral is "partial 16S ribosomal RNA". It matches the Rfam family "Bacterial small subunit ribosomal RNA", at positions 15 to 244 of the family's 1533-position model. The record is from RNAcentral.
GAUCAUGGCUCAGAUUGAACGCUGGCGGCAGGCCUAACACAUGCAAGUCGAGCGGAUGAAGAGAGCUUGCUCUCUGAUUCAGCGGCGGACGGGUGAGUAAUGCCUAGGAAUCUGCCUGAUAGUGGGGGACAACGUUUCGAAAGGAACGCUAAUACCGCAUACGUCCUACGGGAGAAAGCAGGGGACCUUCGGGCCUUGCGCUAUCAGAUGAGCCUAGUGUCGUAUUAG